AUUGAACGCUGGCGGCAGGCCUAACACAUGCAAGUCGAACGGUAACAGGAAGAAGCUUGCUUCUUUGCUGACGAGUGGCGGACGGGUGAGUAAUGUCUGGGAAACUGCCUGAUGGAGGGGGAUAACUACUGGAAACGGUAGCUAAUACCGCAUAACGUCGCAAGACCAAAAGAGGGGGGACCCUUCGGGGCCUCUUGCCAUCGGAUGUGCCCAGAUGGGAUUAGCUAGUAGGUGGGGUAACGGCUCACCUAGGCGACGAUCCCUAGCUGGUCUGAGAGGAUGACCAGCCACACUGGAACUGAGACACGGUCCAGACUCCUACGGGAGGCAGCAGUGGGGAAUAUUGCACAAUGGGCGCAAGCCUGAUGCAGCCAUGCCGCGUGUAUGAAGAAGGCCUUC
RNAcentral lists this ribosomal RNA (399 nucleotides) under uncultured bacterium. RNAcentral describes it as "bacterial SSU rRNA". It matches the Rfam family "Bacterial small subunit ribosomal RNA", at positions 30 to 419 of the family's 1533-position model. The record is from RNAcentral.